CAUGGGUUAUCACGAAAUCAUAAGAUGUUCUUUUCACCUCCCCAAGCCUUUCCACUAUAAAACUGCAACUAUCGGAUCCAUGGCUAACAAAACAUCAAAAUCAAUGGUGACGGAACCUUCCAUCGUGUUCUUCCACGAUUUUUCUUCUGGGUUGGGAGAGGCCAAGCUCAUCUUCAAGCUAAUCCUUUUAUGGGAAGCUCUCCGGAUUGAUGUCGAGAUGUUCAUCAACGAACAGGGUUUGUUUUUUGAUUGGAGGGGCAAGAGGUUCUGAUCAUGGCGUCGAUAUCAUUGUCGGAUCAGGGGCCUAAGACAGAGGGGGGAGGAGGAGGAGAGAGCUCGGAGACGGUGGCGGCGAGUGAUCAAACGUUGUUGUAUAGAGGUUUUAAGAAGGCGAAGAAGGAGAGAGGUUCCAUUUACCGUGGAGUCACAAGGUACUGUGGUUGUGUGUCUUCUAAACUGAAUAGAUGUUUACGAUCCGGAUGAGGGUGGUGUGAUUCAUUUUGAAUUUCAUAUUGUGUAAUCUGGAGAAUUAAACUUAGGACUGUUGUGAUGUCAUUGUUGGAUUGAGAGAGAUGUUGUGUCAUCUGGAAUCGUUGAUUAUUCUGACAAUUAUCAUGUCUCAUUGAGACAAGAACUGAAUGUAUUGUCUUACAUAGCAGUAGGAGAUGCUGAGGUGUAUUGUUUCUUGAAUUUUUGUAAGUACAUGCAUAGAUGGAUAGGUCGUUGUGAAGCUCACCUUUGAGACAAGAGUACAUGGAACCAAAACCAGAACAAGAAGGGAAAACAAGUUUAUCUAGGAGCAUAUGAUGAUGAAGAGGCUGCUUCUAGAGCUUACGACCUUUGUGACCUUUAAAUACUGGGGACCAGGGACACUUAUCAACUUUCCAGUGAGUAUGAUGCUUUCCGCACUUUCAAGCAAGAAAUGGUUGUGGCUACACAUGAAAAUCUCAUCCAUGGAUCAAGCAAAAGUGAUCAACGAAUUCCAAAAGCUUUAUGCACAACUGGACAUGACGCAAAACAAAAACUACAUUCAUUUCUAGGACCAUAAUACUCUGAAAUCAUGGGUAAUCACAAAGAUUGAGUGUGUCAUGUUUGUUUUGUUUAUAGUGUUUAUUGAAAGCGAUGAUGUCAGAGGUUACUGAUGGAGUUGGCGAAGAGAAGAUGAAAAUAAAACUGAAGAUCUCACUAAACCAUGUAGUUAUUUGCUUUUUCAAUCACAAGAUUCAUACUCGCACACUUUUCAUUGGUUUUCUUCAAGCUUCUUCUAAGUAGCUCAUUCCUUUGUAUCGAUCUCAUAGGUGCUUGAUGAGAUUAGUGUUUUGUGUUGCAUUUAAGGUUUGUUUUUCUUAAAUAGUUUUGUUAAAUAUGUCUUGG
Long non-coding RNA from Brassica oleracea var. oleracea, 1374 nucleotides. RefSeq lists it as uncharacterized. The record is from RefSeq and is a predicted model, not a curated record. Lineage: Eukaryota; Viridiplantae; Streptophyta; Magnoliopsida; Brassicales; Brassicaceae. The transcript is spliced from 6 exons.